GAUCUCGAUGAGGUUUGAUCCAUAGGAUCCAUAGGAUCGGACCACGUCGAGAGCAA
This 56-nucleotide microRNA precursor is filed under the name Euprymna scolopes. RNAcentral's name for it is "Esc-Novel-69_pre stem-loop". The record is from RNAcentral. Lineage: Eukaryota; Metazoa; Mollusca; Cephalopoda; Sepiida; Sepiolidae.